UGCAACUAAGGUAUAAGAGGUCCUGCCUGCCCAGUGACACUAAGUUUAACGGCCGCGGUAUUAUGACCGUGCAAAGGUAGCGUAAUCACUUGUCUUUUAAAUAAAGACCAGUAUGAAUGGCAAGACGAAAGUUCAACUGUCUCCCUAAAUUAAUCAAUGAAAUUGAUCUUUCCGUGCAGAAGCGGAAAUAUAACUAUAAGACGAGAAGACCCUAUGGAGCUUUAAACACAUAAUCAAUUGUAAAACAUAAAACCCGAAAGAUUAAAUAUAAAAUAAAACAAUCUGAUUAAAAUUUUAGGUUGGGGCGACCACGGAGAAAAACAAAACCUCCGAGAUGAAGAGAAUAUCUUAAUUAAAGAACUACAGUUCUAAAAAAUAAAAUAUUUAACAUAAUUGAUCCAAUAUAUUGAUCAACGAACCAAGUUACCCUAGGGAUAACAGCGCAAUCCUCUCCAAGAGUCCCUAUCGACGAGCGGGU
Molecule: ribosomal RNA, 478 nt
Filed under: Hynobius katoi (Akaishi salamander)
Lineage: Eukaryota; Metazoa; Chordata; Amphibia; Caudata; Hynobiidae
Description: partial 16S ribosomal RNA
Rfam family: Bacterial large subunit ribosomal RNA
Source: RNAcentral